Molecule: long non-coding RNA, 485 nt
Organism: Nerophis ophidion (straightnose pipefish)
Lineage: Eukaryota; Metazoa; Chordata; Actinopteri; Syngnathiformes; Syngnathidae
Exons: 3
Source: RefSeq, a predicted model, not a curated record
CACCGAUGCAUCAGCGCAUGCGUCGAGCUCAUAGAGCAAAACCCUGUGUCGGUGUGCGUACCGCUUUAAAAAAGUCACGUGACCCAUCAUGAGCUGUUUGGGUCACGUGACCGAUACGCGAACUGUGUCGCACUGACGCCUGCGCGCCAAACUGUGUUUAUAAGGAAGCGCAGCUGACAACAGAAUAGCCGCACUUCUGUCGUUGGUCAUUUAUUGUCGUCAGAGAUUAUGGAGCAGCCUCAGUCGAAAAGAAAAUUCUCGCCGUGUGGGAAUAUUUUGAUCAUACAUCGGAAAAAAAAGGCAUUAUAGGGCCGGGCAUGAAAAUGAAGUUCCAGAGACACCCAGGAUAAACUCAGGCAGCAGAUGCUGGAUGAGGCUCUGCUGAACUUCAUUGUCAAGGACUGCCAGGCUCAUUAUUUAUUGACUGUAUCUAAAAAUGAUAAAAAUAUAUUUUUAUUCAAAUGAAGAUAUGAAAUAAUCUUAAA